CCUACGGGAGGCAGCAGUGGGGGAUAUUGCACAAUGGGGGGAACCCUGAUGCAGCGACGCCGCGUGGGUGAAGAAGCGCCUCGGCGCGUAAAGCCCUGUCAGCAGGGAAGAAAAUGACGGGACCUGAAGACGAAGCCACGGCUAACUACGUGCCAGCAGCCGCGGUACUACGUAGGUGGCGCGCGUUGUCCGGAUUUACUGGGUGUAGCGGGCGUAUAGGCGGGCUGACAAGUCAGAUGUGAAAUCCGGGGGCUCAACCCCCGAACUGCAUUUGAAACUGUUGGUCUUGAGUAUCGGAGAGGCAGGCGGAAUUCCUGGUGUAGCGGUGAAAUGCGUAGAUAUUAGGAGGAACACCAGUGGCGAAGGCGGUCUGCUGGACAGCAACUGACGCUGAGGCGCGAAAGCGUGGGGAGCAAACAGGAUUAGAUACCCGAGUAGUC
Molecule: ribosomal RNA, 440 nt
Filed under: uncultured bacterium
Lineage: Bacteria
Description: partial 16S ribosomal RNA
Rfam family: Bacterial small subunit ribosomal RNA
Source: RNAcentral